RNAcentral lists this ribosomal RNA (545 nucleotides) under uncultured bacterium. RNAcentral's name for it is "bacterial SSU rRNA". It matches the Rfam family "Bacterial small subunit ribosomal RNA", at positions 74 to 635 of the family's 1533-position model. The record is from RNAcentral.
UUACCUUCGGGUAAUGAGGAUGGCGGACGGGUGAGUAACGCGUAAGGAACUUGCCUCUUGGACUGGGACAACUGUUGGAAACGACAGCUAAUACCGGAUAUUAUGAGAUUCUCGCAUGAGAAACUUAUGAAAGCUAUAUGCGCCAAGAGAGAGCCUUGCGUUCCAUUAGCUAGUUGGUGGGGUAACGGCCCACCAAGGCGACGAUGGAUAGCCGGCCUGAGAGGGUGAACGGCCACAAGGGGACUGAGACACGGCCCUUACUCCUACGGGAGGCAGCAGUGGGGAAUAUUGGACAAUGGGCCACAAGCCUGAUCCAGCAAUUCUGUGUGCACGAUGAAGGUCUUCGGAUUGUAAAGUGCUUUCAGUUGGGAAGAAGAAAGUGACGGUACCAACAGAAGAAGCGACGGCUAAAUACGUGCCAGCAGCCGCGGUAAUACGUAUGUCGCAAGCGUUAUCCGGAUUUAUUGGGCGUAAAGCGCGUCUAGGCGGAAAAAUAAGUCUGAUGUUAAAAUGCGGGGCUCAACUCCGUAUUGCGUUGGAAACUG